CCUACGGGAGGCAGCAGUGAGGAAUAUUGGUCAAUGGGCGAGAGCCUGAACCAGCCAAGUCGCGUGAGGGAGUACUGCCCUAUGGGUUGUAAACCUCUUUUGUCGGGGAGCAAAAGCCGGACGUGGCCGGCUGUGAGAGUACCCGAAGAAAAAGCAGCGGCGAACUCCGGGCCCGCAGCCGCGGUAAUACGGAGGAUGCGAGCGUUAUCCGGAUUUAUUGGGUUUAAAGGGGGCGCAGGCGGAUUUUUAAGUCAGCGGUCAAAUCGUGGGGCUCACCCCCAUCCAGCCGUUGACACUGGGGAUCUAGAGUGUGCGAGAGGUAUGCGGCCUGCGUGGUGUAGCGCUGA
This 347-nucleotide ribosomal RNA is filed under the name uncultured bacterium. RNAcentral describes it as "partial 16S ribosomal RNA". It matches the Rfam family "Bacterial small subunit ribosomal RNA", at positions 338 to 684 of the family's 1533-position model. The record is from RNAcentral.